Long non-coding RNA from Bufo bufo (common toad), 157 nucleotides. RefSeq lists it as uncharacterized. The record is from RefSeq and is a predicted model, not a curated record. The transcript is spliced from 3 exons. Lineage: Eukaryota; Metazoa; Chordata; Amphibia; Anura; Bufonidae.
ACCUCUGUCAAAAAGGAAAGUUACAAUAGUGCUUCACUAAAGUGAUGCCUGAAAGCUUACUGGUAACUAGGAAGAAAAAGGCACACUAUGGGAUGGGCCAAAACUUGUAGACCUUUAGAGCCUGCUGACUGUUAAUUCCUCAGCGCUAGAAUGCUAU